UAUUAGUUUUUUUUAUUUUUAUUUCUUUUUUUUUAUUAUUUAUUUUGAUUUAUAUAUUUAAAUUAGUAUUAUAAUAACAAUUAGUUGGUAAGUGAUCUGGUGGAGAGAAGUGAUGUCUAGGUCUUUAGUGUAGUGGGUUCAAUUCCCCUAUGUGUAGUUUUUUUUUCUUUUAACAUUUUCUUUUGUGUUUAUGCUUUAUUACUCAUAGUUUUUAUUAUUUAAUAACAUAGAUUUGUUUUUUCUUUUAAUUGCAUCAUGCAUUCGAAACCAUUUUUUUUAGUGUAGUUUUUUUUUCUUUUAACAUUUUCUUUUGUGUUUAUGCUUUAUUACUCAUAGUUUUUAUUAUUUAAUAACAUAGAUUUGUUUUUUCUUUUAAUUGCAUCAUGCAUUCGAAACCAUUUUUUUUUAACUUAUAAAAAUCAUAUUUUCUCGAUUUAAUAUCGAGCCCCUUUUUUCACACCCUUGUAAGUCGAUUGCUUUUUAAGCAUCGCCAUCAACCUCACAUAGCUUACUC
This 514-nucleotide long non-coding RNA is filed under the name Lathyrus oleraceus (garden pea). RNAcentral describes it as "Pisum sativum (pea) long non-coding RNA (PSAT_LNC018572)". The record is from RNAcentral. Lineage: Eukaryota; Viridiplantae; Streptophyta; Magnoliopsida; Fabales; Fabaceae.